This is a long non-coding RNA of Pseudopipra pipra, 425 nucleotides long. RefSeq lists it as uncharacterized. The record is from RefSeq and is a predicted model, not a curated record. The transcript has 3 exons. Lineage: Eukaryota; Metazoa; Chordata; Aves; Passeriformes; Pipridae.
CAGUUGACUUUUGCUAUAAUAAGGGGUUUUUUUGCCAGCUGAUAGUUGAGCACUGUGAAGAAAAGCAUUGACAGUCUUUGUCUUUCCAACUCUGCAUUGUGCCAUGUGGCAGUUCUUGAACUCUCAUAUCAAAGAAGAUUGCAUAUUUGUGAUAUUUGACUGGAAAAAAAAGAAGUGUAUUCAUUUAAAGUAAUGAGUCAAGGUUUUAUUGGAACGAUAUGACUCAAGGUCGAGAACGGGUGUUAGAUAGCAAGAGAAAGGCUACUAGCUGGUCACAGAAUUCCAGUGAUGCCCAAUAGAUUUUAAAGAAAUAUGAAGAUGCAACUGAUGUGGAUUUUUUUCCAGAGAAAACUGAUAAAGUAUUUUGGGCAUACUAAAUAUAUUUAAACAUUCACUAGGUAAAAUGGAGAGCUUAUGGAUAUUAA